This 234-nucleotide ribosomal RNA is filed under the name uncultured bacterium. RNAcentral describes it as "partial 16S ribosomal RNA". It matches the Rfam family "Bacterial small subunit ribosomal RNA", at positions 335 to 561 of the family's 1533-position model. The record is from RNAcentral.
UUCCCUACGGGAGGCAGCAGUAGGGAAUCUUCCACAAUGGACGAAAGUCUGAUGGAGCAACGCCGCGUGAGUGAAGAAGGGUUUCGGCUCGUAAAGCUCUGUUGGUAGUGAAGAAAGAUAGAGGUAGUAACUGGCCUUUAUUUGACGGUAAUUACUUAGAAAGUCACGGCUAACUACGUGCCAGCAGCCGCGGUUAUACGUAAGUGGCAAGCGUUGUCCGGAUUUAUUGGGUUU